This 3239-nucleotide long non-coding RNA is filed under the name Salmo salar (Atlantic salmon). Its description in RNAcentral is "lncRNA (ENSSSAG00000069690.2)". Lineage: Eukaryota; Metazoa; Chordata; Actinopteri; Salmoniformes; Salmonidae. The record is from RNAcentral.
GGGAAAAGGACAGAAUGAGAGAUAACUGGUCCUAGAACUGUGACUAGGCAGAUGUUGUCAGAGCUGAAUGCCUUCAUACUAAGAGGUGUCUGCUGCCAUCUAGUGGACUGUGUUCAGAUAACAGCUGUAAAAACCAACAGCAUACUAGUCUGUAUCACACCUUUUACAAUACACGUUCACACACUCAUACACACCACACACACACACUCUCUCUCUCUCUCAAUCUUUGUUUCAGAGAUUUUAUUUUUCAUUCCAAAUGAUUUCCUAAGAAUUGAAAUUUUACAUCAGGGACUGCAUCAUCAGGGACUGCAUCAUCGGGGACUGCAUCAUCGGGUGCUGCAUCAUCGGGGACUGCAUCAUCGGGGACUGCAUCAUCGGGGACUGCAUCAUCAGGGACUGCAUCAUGAAGCUCCAAGUGACAAUGCAUCAAUUAUCUUCAUUACAAAGUUUAUCAGAGAGAGAGGGAGAGCGAGAGAGAAAGAGAGAGAGAGAGAGGGAGACAGACAGAAAGAGAGAGACAGAAAGAGAGACAGAAAGAGAGACAGAGAGAGAGACAGAGAGAGAGAGAGGGAGACAGAGAGAGAGAGGGAAAAUGAGAGAGAGAGAAAGAGAGAUAGACCGGGCAGAGAGAGAGAGAGGGAGAGAUAUAGAGAUAGAGUGGGGUUAAUAAGUAUAACAAACAUGUUAAUUUUAGUUAACCAGAAUGUGAUGAUAGGUUACAUUCACUAACCUGGCUGUGCCUGAUGCUAUGUUGGGGUGACACCAAGUGGGACAUGACACUAACACAGAUACACUGAGUGUACAAAACAUUAAGGACACCUGCUCUUUCCAUGACAUAGACUGAUCAGGUGAAUCCAGGUGAAAGCUAUGAUCCCUUAUUGAUGUCACCUGUUAAAUCCACUUCAAUCAGUGUAGAUGAAGGGGAGGACACAGGAUAAAAAAUGAUUUUAAAGCCUUGUGACAAUUGAGACAUGGAUUGUGUGUGUGGCAUUCAGAGGGUGAAUGGGCAAGACAAAAUAUUUAAGUGCUUUUGAACGGGGUAUGGUAGUAGGUGCCAGGCGUACCGGUUUGUGUCAAGAACUGCAACGCUACUGGGAUUUUCAUGCUAAACAGUUUCCCGUAUGUAUCAAGAAUGUUCUACCACCCAAAGGAUAUCCAGCCAACUUGACACAACUGUGGGAAGCAUUGAAGUCAAUAUGGGCCAGCAUCCCUACGGAACUUGACACAACUGUGGGAAGCAUUGAAGUCAAUAUGGGCCAGCAUCCCUACGGAACUUGACACAACUGUGGGAAGCAUUGAAGUCAAUAUGGGCCAGCAUCCCUACGGAACUUGACACAACUGUGGGAAGCAUUGAAGUCAAUAUGGGCCAGCAUCCCUACGGAAUGAUUUUUUUUUUAGAGUCAAAGCCCAGACAAAUUGAGGCUGUUCUUAGGGCAAAAGGGGAUGGUGCAAAUCAAUAUUAGGAAGAUGUUCCUAAUGCUUUGUACACUCAGCGUAUGUCAGCUGUAUUCACAAAAACAUCCAAGCCCUCAAGUGCUUUCAAAUGGCGCAUAUAUUCAUAGCUGUUGAAAAUGUCCAGUUACAAACAAGUCAUAGAUGGAGAGAGGAUGUGUCCCAAAUAGCAUCCUAUUCCCUAUAUAGUGCACUACUUUUGACCAGAGCCCAGUGGGCCCUGUUGUACAGUACAUAGAUAAUAGGAUGCCAUUGUAAUGGGGACAAGUGCAUAUUGUUCGAAUUAAUUUGUGUUUUCAGUAAACAUUUGGCAACAAAAUGUAAUUUACUUAUUAGUCAAUAAUCCUUUGAUUGAAAUCCAAAGUUGCACACCCAUCGGUUUUGUUGGUCACAACCCACCUGUCUGUACUUAUGUAUAUUCGUCUGUGAUGCUUGUUGAGUAGGCUAACAGAGGCCUAACAGGAUAUUGUCCUAGGGACAUACAGUAAGCUAACAGAGGCCUAACAGAAUAUUGUGCUAGGGAGAUACAGUAAGCUAAUAGAGGCCUAACAUAAUAUUGUGCUAGGGACAUACAGUAAGCUAACAGAGGCCUAACAGAAUAUUGUGCUAGGGAGAUACAGUAAGCUAACAGAGGCCUAACAGAAUAUUGUGCUAGGGACAUACAGUAAGCUAACAGAGGCCUAACAGGAUAUUGUCCUAGGGACAUACAGUAAGCUAACAGAGGCCUAACAGAAUAUUGUCCUAGGGACAUACAGUAAGCUAAUAGAGGCCUAACAUAAUAUUGUGCUAGGGACAUACAGUAAGCUAACAGAGGCCUAACAGAAUAUUGUGCUAGGGACAUACAGUAAGCUAACAGAGGCCUAACAGAAUAUUGUGCUAGGGACAUACAGUAAGCUAAUAGAGGCCUAACAUAAUAUUGUGCUAGGGACAUACAGUAAGCUAACAGAGGCCUAACAUAAUAUUGUGUUAGGGACAUACAGUAAGCUAAUAGAGGCCUAACAUAAUAUUGUGCUGGGGACAUACAGUAAGCUAACAGAGGCCUAACAUAAUAUUGUGUUAGGGACAUACAGUAAGCUAAUAGAGGCCUAACAUAAUAUUGUGCUAGGGACAUACAGUAAGCUAAUAGAGGCCUAACAUAAUAUUGUGUUAGGGACAUACAGUAAGCUAAUAGAGGCCUAACAUAAUAUUGUGCUAGGGACAUACAGUAAGCUAAUAGAGGCCUAACAUAAUAUUGUGCUAGGGACAUACAGUAAGCUAACAGAGGCCUAACAUAAUAUUGUGUUAGGGACAUACAGUAAGCUAAUAGAGGCCUAACAUAAUAUUGUGCUAGGGACAUACAGUAAGCUAAUAGAGGCCUAACAUAAUAUUGUGUUAGGGACAUACAGUAAGCUAACAGAGGCCUAACAUAAUAUUGUGUUAGGGACAUACAGUAAGCUAAUAGAGGCCUAACAUAAUAUUGUGCUAGGGACAUACAGUAAGCUAAUAGAGGCCUAACAUAAUAUUGUGUUAGGGACAUACAGUAAGCUAAUAGAGGCCUAACAUAAUAUUGUGCUAGGGACAUACAGUAAGCUAAUAGAGGCCUAACAUAAUAUUGUGCUAGGGACAUACAGUAAGCUAACAGAGGCCUAACAUAAUAUUGUGUUAGGGACAUACAGUAAGCUAAUAGAGGCCUAACAUAAUAUUGUGUUAGGGACAUACAGUAAGCUAAUAGAGGCCUAACAUAAUAUUGUGCUAGGGACAUACAGUAAGCUAACAGAGGCCUAACAGGAUAUUGUGCUAGGGACAUA